This is a long non-coding RNA of Nyctereutes procyonoides (raccoon dog), 1148 nucleotides long. RefSeq lists it as uncharacterized. NCBI's taxonomy places the organism in Eukaryota, Metazoa, Chordata, Mammalia, Carnivora, Canidae. The transcript has 3 exons. The record is from RefSeq and is a predicted model, not a curated record.
GCUCGGUGGGUGUUGGCUGGGAAGCAGGGUCUCUGGAUCCCGCCGAGUCACCCGAGUCGAUGCCCGGCCCCGUGCUGGCUGGCGCGGCCUCCGCGGAACUGUGGGGUCGUGCAGGAAGGGAAAACUCGUGAUUCCUUAGGACCGGCGUAGACGGACCAGCGCCGAGAGCGGCAGAUAACAUGCCUUGUGAUUUCCUUGUGGCUGCAGUAGCUUUAUUUCAGGCUUAGAGAGAGGCGGCAACUUUCCCUUGACACAGGGUUGUUGAAGAUGCUAACAGAAAGUAAUCCUUAAUGCAAAAUCAAUUGAAGAGAAUGAAGGCUUUCAUUUUUGACUCACUUCUUGAUCUUUGUGCAUACGGACUCUGGCAGCCCAGUGUGUCCCCCAUAUGGCUCUGCCUGUGACUGUGACUUUCCCUCCACCACUGCCAAGAGCAGACAGAUUGUUGGGAGCAUGGAUGCCAACUCGGCAGUUCACUGUGCACGCACCUGCCCCACAGCUCCUAGGCUUGUGUGAGUAUGGGCAUCCCAGCACUGCAGCCCAACUUCUUGGAGCUACGGGUUCUCAGAGCUGCACUCCACAUGUGGAGCUGAAGUGGGGAAGAUGGUUUGUGUCAGGCUCCUGGCCACAGGCAAGGAAGAUACAGCGGACAUCAGGUCUCCCAGGUUCUCUCUUCAGCAGACUUCACGUGGAUGGCCAGCCCAAGUUCUGGUGAGAUCCCUCUUUGGCAAAAGAGGGAGGUGGACCUUGGUGUGGGGAUGUGUCCUCCAGACAUUUUCGCUGGUCACCUGAUCUAUCCCUACGUGUCCCAGAUACCAGAUGAUGCCAGGGUUACCUGGGUGCUCAUGUUGGCCUGCAAAAUGCAGUUUGCUCCACAUACUUGCCCUCAGGCACCAGGCGUUCCAGGCCUACUGAACAGGGCCUGUCCUAUCCCUCCAGGGCAUCCUCCUGAGGCUAUGGUACCCCUCACUACACCUUGGAUGAGAAGGUUUGAAUCAUGGUCACCAUCAGGCCCCAUAUGACCUUGCUGUUCUAAUGGCAUAGGGGCCUGUCUAGCAACCCUUGUUUUUAGUCCAGGGUAUUUUCCUUGUGUAAAAAUACUUCUUUGAGAAAUACAAUUUAUUGUCAGAUAGUUUAUCAAUAUGAUAGAU